Xenia sp. Carnegie-2017 is the source of this 1271-nucleotide long non-coding RNA. RefSeq lists it as uncharacterized. The transcript has 2 exons. The record is from RefSeq and is a predicted model, not a curated record. Lineage: Eukaryota; Metazoa; Cnidaria; Anthozoa; Malacalcyonacea; Xeniidae.
CUGAAGCUCGAUCUUUCCUUCUCUCUAUGACGUUUGUAGUAGAACAAAACAAACUCCAAGCUGCCUGAACAAAGAAGCUCUUGAUCUUUCCUUCUCUCUAUGACGUUUGUAGUAGAACAAGACAAACUCCAAGCUGCCUGAACAAAGAAGCUCUCGAUCUUUCCUUCUCUCUAUGACGUUUGUAGUAGAACAAGACAAACUCCAAACUGCCUGAACAAAGAAGCUCUUUUUGAACUACCAUUCUAUAUUUGCCUGAUGACGAUACCAAGGUCAAAUAGAGAACGUUCGAAAAGAGCCUGUUGCAAUUUCUUAUUGUUUAUUUACCGAUUAAGGAAUUAUGUAAGUUAAAUUUGUUAGAAUACGGUAAUAUUGAAUUUUUCAUACUCAAAAUAGUCGUUUAAUUAAAUUUCACAUCAUUGCUUGUGGCGCAUUUUUGUUAGUUCCUCCAUGGCAGAUUUAUUGCUUUCGUUAAUAAAGAAUAUUAAGAUUCUAUAUACUUCCUCAAGGAAAGUAGAAAAUUCAAGGAAAGCUUGCCGACGAUACAUAAUAACACAAAUAAAAUAUUCAACUUAAUGGAUGAAGACAAAGUUAUGUAAAUUUAACACGAAGAAAUACUUUGAAGAAACAUGAAACAUGAAAUUGAACUUGUUGCACGUGUUGUAUGGACAUGUCGAUCAUAUUUAGAAUGUUCAUUCGUAGGCUGUAUUUUUAGAAUAACAUUCAAUUUAAAUUUAAAUGUAAAUGAAUGAAAUGUUUUUAGCCAAUUAAAUUAUGGCAUUCGCGAUUGUGUACACCUAAAUUUUAUUUCAUAAAUAGUAGGUGUGCGAGAUAAAAUUUGUCAUCAGUCGCAAGUUACAAUCUAAGCGAAACUUGGUUUAUACUAAUCUUAUGUGAGCAGCCUAGCUGCCUAUUCUAAUAAUAUAAUUGUAAACAUACAAAAACCAAGGAUAUAUAAUAUUUAAAAUGCAGAGGCUCUGGAAGACCCCAAGGUGUUGAAUCAUAAAUAUUGAGAGAAAUACGACACCAAAUUAAUAAAAAUAUUUCAAAAUGGCAAAUUCAAAACUGAGAGAACUUGGUUAUUUGAUGGGAUCUACGUUUACCUUUACUUCUUAUGUAUAUUCCAAGGAUUAAGAGGGUGGUUAUUUUAUGCAGAAAUGAAAAAUGCUAUAGCACUUGAUAGAACUACGUGAUCACAAAAAAAAACACGCAAUGGCAAGCAUGGAAAACUGUGAGGAUUACGGCGUGCACUUGUGUAAGAUGGACAUAUUUCU